GGCGCACACGGACGUGCUGGUCUGCGGGGUCUGCGGGCUGGAGGAAGGGGCGCCUGGCGUCUCAGACCGCACGUCCUGGAAAGUGGGGGUGGAGGACGGCCACGCUGCCCGCAGUCUGCCUGUCCGCCGCUGGCAAUGUGAUGUUGGAAGUAAAGAGAUGGCCACCUUCCUGAAGCCCCUGCGUCUCCGCAAACCACGCUCCCAAAGUGUGAGGUGGGCGGUGACACACUUGCCCUGCAGCCCUAACACAGCAGGACCAUGCAGUUCUGUCUGCUCAGCACCAUCCAUCCACCAGGGUGCUGCCCCCACCCAGCCCCGAGGCUCUGGGAGUUGAUGGACACACCCUGCCCGGGGCGCAGGCAGGUGGCCCAGGUCUGACCGGUUGUGACUUCCCAUCCUAUUCAGGGUUAUAAGUUCAUGGGUUGGGCCUGAGACUCAACCUUAGUCCUUGCGUGAGACUCUCAAAGAGAGAGAGAGAGAGAGAGAGAGAGAGAGAGAGUCUUUGUCAUUAUUGUGGAUUGUGGCACGAGAGGGAAGCUAACACCUCAGCAGAACCAGAGACAAUCAGAGGGGAGGAGGAAGCCCAACAAUAGCGUCCCAGCCCCUGGAUCCAGCUGUACCUGCAGCACCUUUAGAUGUAAGUGAUCCAAGAUGUGAGCUGAACUUGCAACCAAGAGUCCCACCUCCUUCCCUAAUAAUAACGUAAACAUGUUUGGGAGCGAUUUUAUAUAAGCAUUGCACUAGGUGGGUAUAUAAAAUCUAGGAACACCCUUUAAAAUGGUAA
Molecule: long non-coding RNA, 784 nt
Organism: Suricata suricatta (meerkat)
Lineage: Eukaryota; Metazoa; Chordata; Mammalia; Carnivora; Herpestidae
Exons: 2
Source: RefSeq, a predicted model, not a curated record